UACAGAGGUCCCAAGCGUUGUUCGGAUUCACUGGGCGUAAAGGGUGCGUAGGUGGCAAGGUAAGUUUGAUGUGAAAUCUUCGAGCUCAACUCGGAAACUGCAUUGAAUACUAUCUUGCUUGAGGAUUGGAGGGGAGAUCGGAAUUCCUGGUGUAGCGGUGAAAUGCGCAGAUAUCAGGAGGAACACCGGUGGCGAAGGCGGAUCUCUGGGCCAUUACUGACGCUGAGGAGCGAAAGCGUGGGGAGCGAACAGG
RNAcentral lists this ribosomal RNA (253 nucleotides) under uncultured bacterium. RNAcentral describes it as "partial 16S ribosomal RNA". It matches the Rfam family "Bacterial small subunit ribosomal RNA", at positions 524 to 776 of the family's 1533-position model. The record is from RNAcentral.